GAUGAAGAACGUAGCGAAAUGCGAUAAGUAAUGUGGAUUGCAGAAUUCAGUGAAUCAUCGAAUCUUUGAACGCACAUUGCGCCCGCCAGUAUUCUGGCGGGCAUGCCUGUUCGAGCGUCAUUUCAACCAUCAAGCCCCAGGCUUGUGUUGGGGGCCUGCAGCUGCUGCAGCCCCCUAAAAGCAGUGGCGGACUCGCUGUCAUACCGAGCGCAGUAGUUACAUCUCGCUCUGGGCAUGGCGGCGGGCACCUGCCGUAAAACACUCUUUCUAAGGUUGACCUCGGAUCAGGUAGGAAUACCCGCUGAACUUAAGCAUAUCAAUAAGCGGAGGA
This 331-nucleotide unclassified non-coding RNA is filed under the name soil metagenome. RNAcentral's name for it is "partial contains 5.8S ribosomal RNA, internal transcribed spacer 2, and large subunit ribosomal RNA". The stretch from base 1 to 120 matches the Rfam family "5.8S ribosomal RNA", at positions 35 to 154 of the family's 154-position model. The record is from RNAcentral.